Molecule: ribosomal RNA, 1485 nt
Filed under: metagenome
Description: bacterial SSU rRNA
Rfam family: Bacterial small subunit ribosomal RNA
Source: RNAcentral
AGAGUUUGAUUCUGGCUCAGAACGAACGCUGGCGGCGUGGUUUAGGCAUGCAAGUCGAACGGGAUCUCUUAAUUAUGAAGCUUCGGCCGAUUAAUUUUGAGUGAUAGUGGCGAACGGGUGAGUAAUGUAUGAGCAAUCUGCCUCUAAAUCUGGAAUAACUCCGCGAAAGCGAAGCUAAUACCUGAUGUGAUUAUUCCUUGGCAUCUUGGAAUAAUUAAAGGUGGGGACCUUCGGGCCUGCCGUUUAGGGAGGAGCUCAUAUUCUAUUAGCUUGUUGGUGAGGUAAAAGCUCACCAAGGCUUUGAUGGAUAGCCGGCCUGAGAGGGUGACCGGCCACACUGGGACUGAGACACUGCCCAGACUCCUACGGGAGGCUGCAGUCGAGAAUCUUUCGCAAUGGGGGAAACCCUGACGAAGCGACGCCGCGUGAGCGAUGAAGGCCUUCGGGUUGUAAAGCUCUGUCGCCUGGGAAAAAUGGCCAAUUGGUUAAUAGCCUUUUGGUUUGAUGUUACCAGGAAAGGAAGCCCCGGCUAACUCUGUGCCAGCAGCCGCGGUAAUACAGAGGGGGCAAGCGUUGUUCGGAUUUACUGGGCGUAAAGGGUGCGCAGGCGGCCUUAAAAGUCAGAUGUGAAAUCUCCCGGCUCACCCGGGAAACUGCAUCUGAAACUCUAAGGCUUGAGUAUGUGAGAAGAAAGUGGAAUUCUCGGUGUAGCGGUGGAAUGUGUAGAUAUCGAGAAGAACACCAGUGGCGAAGGCGGCUUUCUAUUGCACUACUGACGCUCAUGCACGAAAGCUAGGGGAGCAAACGGGAUUAGAUACCCCGGUAGUCCUAGCCGUAAACGAUGUAUACUUGGUGUUAGGAGCAUCGACCCUUCUAGCGCCGAAGCUAACGCGAUAAGUAUACCGCCUGGGGAGUACGGCCGCAAGGCUAAAACUCAAAGAAAUUGACGGGGGCCCGCACAAGCGGUGGAGCAUGUGGUUUAUACGACGCAACGCGUAGAACCUUACCAGGGCUUGACAUGUAUGGACAGUCUAUGAAAGUAGAUCUUCCUUCGGGACUGAUACACAGGUGUUGCAUGGCUGUCGUCAGCUCGUGUCGUGAGAUGUUGGGUUAAGUCCCGCAACGAGCGCAACCCAUGUCCUUAGUUACCAGCACGUAAUGGUGGGAACUCUAGGGAGACUGCCUCGGUCAACGGGGAGGAAGGUGUGGAUGACGUCAAGUCAGUACGGCCCUUACGCCCUGGGCUACACACGUGCUACAAUGGCCGGUACAAAGAGUUGCGAUACCGCGAGGUGGAGCUAAUCUCAAAAAGCCGGUCUCAGUUCGGAUUGGAGUCUGCAAUUCGACUCCAUGAAGCUGGAAUCGCUAGUAAUGGCGCAUCAGCUACGGCGCCGUGAAUACGUUCCCGGGCCUUGUACACACCGCCCGUCACAUCACCCGAGCUGGGUGCACCCGAAGUCGCUAUACCGACCCGUAAGGGAGGAA